This 35416-nucleotide long non-coding RNA is filed under the name Pelobates cultripes (western spadefoot toad). The record is from RNAcentral. Lineage: Eukaryota; Metazoa; Chordata; Amphibia; Anura; Pelobatidae.
GCCAUUUGUAAAACAUUUGUAAUUCAGACCAUCUCACAAAGACAGGCUGUGGUGGUUAUGGUACGAGGAGUGCUCAGAGACCGUCCCCUGGUAAGGAGUCACUUGAUUUUUAAAAUAAUUUCAUUCUUACUGGAGUCCCCGCGAGCAUCCACUUUUCUGCUCAUAUUUGGAUGUUAUUUAUUUUUUACACUCUUAGGCAAUGAACGUCCUAAUAGAAAUUGAUACAGUUAAUGCAGAGCAAGAACUUGUGCUUUUAUCAGUAUCUGAAUAAGCGUCAGCACUGUGGGCAAACAGAAUGAUAAAACCUUUGCGUGCAUGUUGACUUUAUUUGCCCAGAAUGCUGUGCACUUGUAGCACUAGAGAAUUGACAAGGAAUUAGCAGAUGGUCCAAAUAUGUUUACUGAAGAAUGCUAAAUGUUGCUACAUAGAUAUAUCUUUUUUUUUCCCCUUUACGCAUGCUUCCUUUGAGUCAUGGCUGGAUAAUUAAUGUUAGAUGGCAGUGCUGUGUAGAAGCGCAUUUAACAUUUACAUUAGGUGCUUAGAUGGUCUUAAUAAUCCCAUAUUUCCUUUAUCUGUAGGAAGGAAGACUCAAAAUGCAUGCUGGGGGUCCUACUUUAGUAUUUUACGUAAUAAGAAGGAGCAGCUGUGUAGAUGAUCAAAGCGGAAUGUGAAGUCAGCCAUGGAAACUCCUUGUCAUGCAGGAAACUUAAAUGCAAUACAGGAAAUCUAACACUUUAUCUAAAAAGCUGUCUUACAAGAUACUGCAGUGAGCGAUUACUGUGCUGAUUGGGAUUCAAGGGAAAAAUUUUAUUUGCCCGUUCCCUAGACAUUUGCCCAUUUACUGAUGCUAAAACACAAAUUAAGAAUCAUUGACGCUCAAUAUAAUUUACAUGCAGUGCGGGUCCUAAUGCGGGUCCUAAUGUCUGAAGAUGUCAGGGUUUGAUCAUCUACGAAAUGCUACAUGCUAAGAUCAGCUCAAAAUCGACUUGAAGGGUCAGUCUUACUGCAAACAACAUAGUGCUUUGAUCACCCCAAGCCCACUGUCAUUGCUAACAGUUAGUUACAGCAGCAGCCAAUAGUACGGUGUAUGUAUAAAAUGAGGGGCAGUCCCCAUAGAGCAGAAUGAGGUUCUCCUGAUUACAGUGUUGCAAGAGCUGGUUCUCCUCUUGUUUGAUUUUAUAACUGCAAUAAGACUCACCAAGCAGUCCACCAAUGGACUUUUUGAGGUUAACAACCUUAUGCAGUAUCUAUAUAAUUUAUUAAAAAAUACAUGACAAUGUUUAAACCAGAGGCAAAGCUAGAAACCACAGGACCACGGUGCAAAAACUGCCCUGGGCCCCCCUAAUCCCCCAUUUGUCUACCCCACACCCCACUUGAUAGGCGUAGUCCCGGUGGUUAUACAGCGUGACCCCUGCGACUGCAGUAGUUCCGCCACUGGUUUAAACCUAAAUUAACAAGUUCACUCUUUUACGCAUCUGUUUCUACUGUUGAUUUAAAAGGAGGCAAACAAAAUCAACUUGUUUUAAAAUGAUUCUCAAUUGUGGCACAAAAAGGGGAUAAAAUCCUUCUGAACAUUUCUCCUUGACACUACAAAACUGUUAUUUAACAUUUUAACUAUUCCCCCCCAAAAACAUCCAGACCUUCUUUACAAAUCUUAUUGCACCACUAUGUUUAGUUUUUACUAAUAUGAAUAUGGCGGUAAGUGGACAACAAAAACUUGCACUAUAUUGAAUACUUUCAUCACUGUUUAGGUAGAGUAUUCUGAUUACCCCACGGUUUUCCAUCCUAAAAUAUUGCACACUCUAUCCGCUUAGCCAUUAUAUAGACCUAUGCAGCUUUCAGUAAGUUAGCCAUACUUUUACAGUGAGGGAAAAAAAGUAUUUGGUCCCCUGCUGAUUUUGAACAUUUACCCACUGACAAAGAAAUGAUCAGUCUAUAAUUUUAGUGGUAGGUGUAUUUUAACAGUGAGAGACAGAAUAAAAUGCAUGUCAAAAAGUUAUAAAUUGAUUUGCAUGUCAAUGAGUGAAAUAAGUAUUUGACCUCUUCGACUUAAUACUUGGUGGCAAAACCCUUGUUGGAAAUCACAGAUGUUUCUUGUAGUUGUCCACCACGUUUGCACACAUCUCAGGAGAGAUUUUGUCCCACUCCUCUUUGCAGAUCCUCUCCAAGUCAUUAAAGUUUCGAGGCUGACGUUUGGCAACUCGAACCUUCAGCUCCCUCCACAGAUUUUCUAUGGAUUAAGGUCUGAUAACUGGCUAGGCCACUCCAGAACCUUAAUGUGCUUCUUCUUGAGCCACUCUUUUGUUGACUUGGCUGUGUGUUUUGGGUCAUUGUCAUGCUGGAAUACCAAUCCACAACCCAUUUUUAAUGCCCUGGCUAAAGGAAGGAAGUUCUCACCCAAGAUUUGACGGUACAUGGCCCCUUCCAUCGUCUCUUUGAUGUGGUGCAUUUGUCAUGUCCCCUUAGCAGAAAAACACCAACAAAGCAUAAUGUUUCAGGCAGCAUUGCUCCUCCUCCAAACACGGCGAGUUGAGUUGAUGCCAAAGAGCUCGAUUUUGGUCUCAUCUGACCACAACACUUUUACCUAGUUCCUUCUGAAUCAUUCAGAUGUUCAUUGGCAAACUUCAGAUGAGCCUGUACAUGUGGGCAGGGGAAUCUUGCGGGCUCUGCAGGAUUUCAGUCCUUAACGGCGUAGUGUGUUACCAAUUGUUUUCUUGGUGACUAUGGUCCCAGCUGCCUUGAUCAUUAACAAGAUCCUCCCAUGUAGUUCUGGGCUGAUUCCUUACCGUUCUCAUGAUCAUUGAAACUCCAUGAGGUGAUAUCUUGCAUGGAGCACCAGACCGAGGGAGACUAACAGUUAUUUUGCGUUUCUUCUAUUUGCAAAUAAUUGCACCAACUGUUGUCACUUUCUCACCAGCUGCUUGGUGAUCGUCUUGUAGCUCAUUCCAGCCUUGUGUAUGUCUACAGUCUUGUCCCUAACAUCCUUGAACAGCUUUUUGGUCUUGGCCAUGGUGGAGAGUUUGGAAUCUGAUUGAUUGCUUAUGUGGACAGGUGUCUCUAAUACAGGUAACGAGCUGAAUUUAAGAGCACUCCCUUUAAGAGAGUGCUCCUAAUCUCAGCUUGUUACCUGUAUAAAAGACACCUGGGAGCCAGAAAUCUUGCUGAUUGAUAGAGGAUCAAAUAGUUAUUUCACUCAUUGAAAUGCAAAUCAAUUCAUAACUUUUUUGACAUGCGUUUUUCUGGAUUUUAUUUUUGUUGUUGUUAUUCUGUUCACUGUUAAACUACACCUACCAUUAAAAUUAUAGACUGAUCAUUUCUUUGUCAAUGGACAAACGUUCAAAAUCAGCAGAGGAUCAAAUACUCCCCCCCCCCCCAACUGUAUGUGUACAUACAAAAGAACAAAAUUACUAUAUAUAUAAAAAAUGCAAGUGUUAUUCUAUCCUAAGAAAGUAGUGGGGGUAGGGGUUGAUCUCCUAAAUAUUUUUCUUUCACCACACUUUAUGGAAACUAUACAAAGUCAGUUUUCCACCAAAGUGAAAGAAUGACCAGGAGCUGAUAUUCAAGCCAAUGUAAGAAGAGGAACAAAAAACAAUUGUGAAAAAUAUAUAAAAACAAAUAAUGUAGUGGGUAAAAAAUCCUGGAGAUGAUAUGUACAAUAAAAACAAAUCUGAAAUGGGUGAAUGAAAUUCAAUAAAUCACUAUCUAUAAGUCCAUAAAAGUCCAAAAUCUCAACAUACAGAGAUGGGGGUAUGGCGAGACUGCUGUCUGUUCGUGAAUUGCUAUGUGUUAUUCCCCGUGUUUCCCCUGUGUUGUGUUAUAUUCAUGUGAUUUACCUGCUCCCCAUUUGGGAGAGCUAAUAUGAACGAGUUCCGUUCCCCUCCCGAACGGGGACCACCACGAAACCCAUUUAGAAUAUUGUCUUAGAAUGUUUAUACCUCGUAACGAGGUAUCAAAACCACAAACCGCAAGGGAAACCUCAGCGUGUUCCGAACCUGGGUGGCAGCCCGUUCGUUAGAUGAACGCCAUCUAGGGGGAGCAUUUGCGAAUUGCUUCCCACCUUGUUCGGUUACUGAACGAGGACCUCCCCAGUACCCCUUGGAAUGUUCACACCAAUCAAUUAGAAUGUUGUCAACUUGCCACGUAAGUGUGAAAUCGAAAGGGAAGUAAUUAAUGAGUGCUUCCCUGGGCGGCCGCUGUUCAUAUAGACGAUCGGCGGCAAGGGGGAGCAUUUGUGUCCCUUGCCUGGUUUCAUAUAGGGACCCCACGAGAGCAGGCGGUUACCGUUCUUGGGGUCCCUGAGAUUGGUGGGGACACUCUUUUGGGGACAAUGGCAGUUUGGCAGGCUUUCUGUGGCUGGGAGUCACAGAGGUGGGAAACUUUCCCAUGCUGAGACUCCCAGGUACAGAGGCUCAUGGGAUAAAUAGCCCUGGUCCCAAGAGGUGGGAAACCCUGGGGAUGGGUGGCGGGAGCUGGGCACAAAGGGACUGGAGUUCCUGUCAACACGCACAGGCCCCUGGGAGGAUUUGGGGUUCUGGUUCCGUUACAUGACCCCUGGUAGGGGGAGGACCCUGGGAGGGAACACUGUUGAUGUGUGUGAUCCGCUUUUAUGGGGAAAGUAUAAAGCCGAGUGGCCAAUAAAGUUGUUGUACCGCCAGGACUGUGUGUCGUCCAGUUACUGGGUGGGUAAUAGGUCUCUCUGUACUAUAACUGGUUCCAUUCUAGGGACAAGACAUGGCUGAACCAGGACAACCGGCCGAGUUGCUAGCAGAACCGUUACAGGGGGAUAAUAUUAUGUUGGGAUACAAAUAUGGAAAUCAGGCCGGCAGUGCUACUAUACAAUACAAUGUAGCCUGGUCAGGCCAGAUUGCUGUAUGAAUUUAGAACUCAGUAUCAAACUGAGAGAACAUUAAUUCAGAUUAUCCACAAAAUAUUCACUUGCGUAACUAAAUGAAAAGAAAAAGGUAAAUAGUGCUUUACUAUAUGUGAAUUAAUUUAUUAUUGAAAAAAUUAAAAACACUCACAGAUUGUAAAAUUGAGGUUGCAUUUAAGGGGAUGAAUCCCCGAUAUGCAGUUAUCUGUUCACUAUACCAAUUUGUUCCUCUGCUGACCGUAUGAAAUGGCAGCUGAAGUUCGAAAGUGAGACGCCAGCGUCCGAAGGUAAAUGCAGGUUUGGUGUGCAUUUCACUGGCCACCUGGGUUCCAUCAUGAGGCUCUCAAUGAAAUAAAGCAUUGUUUGCAAAAUGCGUAAGGCAGAGAUUUCGAUUCCAGGAGUGAGUUUGAAAGACGCACAAUGGAACACAGGCAGCAAGGGGAAUGCACACCAAACCUACAUUCACCAUUGAACGUUCGCGAUUUACUUUUAAAAUUUCAUUCACCCAUUUCAGAUUUGAUUUUAUGUUACAUAUCACCACCAGGAAUUUGUAUUUACUACUUAAUUUUUCACAUUCCACCCCCCUCCCUCUUCUUAUAUUGUCUUAUAUUGAUUUUCCUUUGGUAUAUGUCUAUGACUACUUAGCCUAUAACACUGUAUAAUGAGGUACGCUGCUGAAACUCUUUAAAGGUAUUCAAAAAAUUAGGACAUCUAAAGAACUGACAAGACAAUUGCAAAGUUUAGCUGGGUCAUAGAUUUUAUGUUGUCCUAUACUAUACAAUUUAUUUUGAUAAGUUUUCAAAACCCACUUUAGAUAAAAAAAAAACUAAAUAUAAUUGGUUAAAGGGUACCUGUCAUAGGUAUGUUAUCUUAUGCUUGAGCAAGGGAGAGAGCAGAUAAGACCUCUCACAAGAGGUCCUUCUGCUCUCCACACAUAGCAACCACAGCACAGGUGCUGUGGUUGCUAUGGUAACUCCAUAGCCAAUGCUGCUAGUGCUGGCUAGGGAGUAUUGGAACAAAGUGGCUGAUGUGACUUCGUUAAGAUGCCAGAAUGCUGUAAAUGAAGCCACAGUGUCAGUGUCACAGAGAAGGUUUCCCUUUUUGGGAAAUCAAGGAGGGUAAAUGAAUAAGGAGGAAAUGGCGGCACUAACGCAGAGAGGUAGGGUGGUUAUUUCUGGAAACUGUACAUUGAAAAAUUGAAUAUAUCAUGUAUCUUUGUGAAAUAAAAAAUUGAGUGACGGGUUCACUUUAAGUAUACAAAGUAUUAUUUCAUUUUAUUUUUUUUGUAUUAAGUUUGUACUCAACUAUAAAUUGUAGUAAUUUAUAAAAGGAAUAACAUGGUGGUAAAAAAUAUUCACUUUUAAUAUCUUCUGUCAUUGGGAUUACAAAAGCUUAAUUGAAACCAAAUCACUGCUUUGCAAUGCAGUAACCUCCAUUAGCAGUUUGUCUUCUGAUUUAGUUUGACGUGUCUUAUUGUUGCUGAGAGAUUAUUUGCAAUCAUUCAACUUCAACAUGUUUCUUUGACGUCGCUCCAGCGUGUAAAACAUGACAUUCCAGUGGUUCAUUAGAUAAACCAUUACUCCACUCAUCUCUAAACAAUAUAAGUCAGAAAAUAAAGGUUAUUGCCUUGGGAAUCUUUUUUUAUUGAUCAUUAAAGAAAAUAAUUAUUGGGUAAAGGUACGAUUUGUGCAAUCAGCAGGCGAAUACUUAAAAACCCUCAGUUGGGCAAGGGUUCAUUAUAUGGUGGCUGGCCAGUGCUUGUUAGCCAGGCCCCGGGUUAAAAUAGUAAAAUAAGUAAAUAGAUAAAUUAAAAUCCGAUGGGAAUCAAUAAGACCCAGAUUUUACUAUAAUGGAGGUAUCGUGCCGAUGUCAGGUGGGAGCAUAUCUGCUAAACAAUUAAACUAGCGACUGUGCCACCAUUGCUGCCCAGUCACUAGAAAAGGUCCUGUCCAAUGGGGAUGGGGCCUGUAAAAUAACAAGGUAAUAUAGCCCCCCCCCAACCUUCAGGUAGGGUCUAAUUUAAAUUUUAAGAGGGUACCUAGAGUCUCCUCUCAUGGCCGCCACCCAUGACGGCACCUGGGAGCCCUAAUAUUUAUAUAAAGGGGGAUCUGGCUCAUGCUGGUGGAAAGGGGCGCUAAUUAUUAUAUUAUUAUAUGGAUAGGGGUGCUAAUUAUUAUAAAAUAUGGGGUGGACAUGCCAUUGCCCCCUCCCCCAAAUAAUAGUAUUCUCCCUGGGUGGCUCGGGGUCCCCAAUCGCCUAGUGACCCACUGAAAUAAAGUCCCUAGCUACUUCCCUCCUCAUCCUAAUAAUAAUGAGGAGGGGGCCAAAAAAAUCUAAAACCUGCAAAAAAAAGUCAGUAGUCUACUUUCUUCUAAUUCUUUUCUUCAGCCCCAAAUAUAAAUACAUAAUUCUCAACACUACCAAUUAAAAUAAAAAAAAAAGGUCUGAUUGCAAAAAAACCAAAGUAAGCCAACCAAUCAGAUCGCUCUGACAGCCAAGUCUCUUGAGACUGGGGCAUUUCGAGGCAAAAAAAAAAAAUAGAUUUUAUUCACAAAAUGUAUGCAACUCCAAUUUUAGCAAGACAGCUCCCGAAUGAAAAUGGGUUUACUUAAUAUAAUAGCCUCUCUGGAUAAGCCUGAGUUCUCUAAAAACUAGUAACAUAUUCUAGAAACUGGUUCCAAAUACGGUUUUGGCCAGUUUUAGGUUGAUUGAAAACUGUCAUAAACUGAAAAUGGAUGACACCAGGCAACUUUCAGACCUUAAAAUUUAAAUUAGCCCUCACCCGAUGUUCACGGCAGAAGGGAGGGGAGGGACUAUGUACGCCUGUUAUUUCACAGGCCCCCCCCCAAAAAAAACAGGACUCAUUGCCUAACCACUCUACAUCUGCAAUAAUAAUAAUGAAAUUAAAUUUCAGCAUUAUCAAAACCAAAUCUGUUCAACCAAGGGUGGCUGUGAUAGGCCGAAAUCACACGGGGAAUGUGCCAGGUAGAGUACUUCCAAUCCAUCCAAAAUGGUUUGACAGAAAACCAGGUCAUCACACCCACAGACGCAUAGCAACAUUACCACUACAAUGAGCUCAUGCCAGUCCUAUUACCGGUAAUGUGAGAUUGUAUUCUAGAAAAUGAUCUCAGAUUCAUAUUCAGUUGGCCUGUCAAAACACUGGAUUUCCUGAAUAAAUGAUAAAGGAAAUGCCAUGUCUUGUGCGCAUAUGUUGGAUCAUCAGCAUGCUGUAUCGGCCAGGAUUUUCAUUGUCAGACAAUGACAUUGUCUGUGAUCUUUUUGUUUUUUGUAUAAGGAAACUGAUUCAUAAAUAAAUAGCUGUGGCAUAUUAACAACCAUUCUGCCAAAUAUAAAGAGUUACUCCAAGCACCAUGACCACUUCAAUCCCUCUGCUGUAACUCCGCACCUGACAGCAUCAUUGGGGGGUCAUCAGCCAGUUUAGAAUAGAGUUCCAGGAUGCCUUAUGUCAAUUCUGUGCAAAUUUUCAAAUACAGAAUUGCACCUAUUGGUUGAGAGUGGUCAGCUGACACUCUUAGUCAAUGACUUCUGCAGAGCUAAGUGUCACCAGCCCUGCUAAGAGACCAGGAGCCUGGCAUGGACCAAGGAAACUGUUACUAAAAAGUUUGCCCCAUUAUUGGUGAACUGGUCCAUGGUACUCCUGGCACCAUAGUGGGCGGUGUAGUGGUUAUGAUGCUUCAUGCUUGGUGUAACCAUUUAAGGCAAAAUAAAUUAAUUGGAGGAAUUUUGUGAAUCGACUAAAUAUUUAUUUUUAUUACACAUUUAUGGCACACAGAUUUGUAUUCCUAACACUAUAGUGUUCAUUUAGCACCACUUAUGCAGUUGCCUUUUAAAUACAAAGUAGCUAUUUUUAGUGAUCUUAAAGGGACACUCUAGACCCCUAAAGCAGUGCUUUACAUGUGAAGAGUGUGUCCUCUUAUUUUCAUUUUACAAACAGUGCAGAUUUCAAAAGAAAUUGGCACUUUUUUGAAUUAACAUUGUUACACCCCGCCUUCUGCCCGGCUUCCAAUCAGAAAACCGGUCUUGUUACUUCCUGGUUUGGUUAGCUCAGUGGAGCUAAACUCGAGAGGCAGCAAUUGCCCAGAGUACCUGCCUUGCAAAGACUUCUCAUUGAGUUGCAUUGGGAAAUCUGUGAUUGGACAGCCAUGGAAAUUCUGGUCAGGGUUAGAAGGGGAGGGCUUGUAAAGGCAGCAGAUAAAACAGGGGUCCUCAAACUCCGGCCCCCCAGAUGUUGCUGAACUACAACUCCCAUGAUUCUCUGGCUAUCUAUGUAAUUCAAAGAAUACCCAUGGGAGUUGUACUUCAGCAACAUAUGGAGGGCCACAGAUUGAGGACCCCUGAGAUAAGAGAACUGUAGAUUUUUCAAACUGUUUAGAUAUAACCCCAACGAAAAACAUGCAGAAUUAAAUGCAUGCAAGUGUUCAUUUGGGGCAUAUCUACUAAGCAGUGAAUUUUUUAAAAUGUUGUUUUCCCUUUAAACUGGUGGAGAAUAAAAUGUUCUCAGUGCAAUUAUUCUAUGUUUCUGGAGACAGUUUCAUUUAAUUAAACUUCUUUUUAUAGUUUAGAAUAGAGUCGAGCCAGUUCUUGCAAUUUGCUUCUGGAUCCAUUUACGAGAAUAUGUAAAAAGUUAGGUUUCUGAAACCGAUUUAGUUACAAAAUGAUUUUUGUUGUUGUUGUUGUUCUUUUCUUUGUAGAUGGCGAAUCAUAAUGGACUGAAACACAAUUGUUAAAAUUAAGUCUUAAUUGUCACAAUGGAAAAAUAGAUGAAUAUCAUUUUUUUCCCCCAAUCCAACUACCUUGGUAAAUUAGCAGUUUGUUUUGAGGUUGUUUAGUAACGAAACCCCUGAGUGACGUGUGAUAUUUUGGUGACGCAAAGAAAACAGGGAAGGAUGCAGAUGCCUAGCAAAGCAAGGAAAUGAAAAUGUGAUGUUUUAGUCUGAUUUGAAGGAUCCAGGAGAUACCAGAGGAAUUUAGACAAAAGCUUAACCCGCUCACUACUAAACAUUUUUAUUUUAAAAUAUUAGUAUAACAUUUAUUACAAAUAUGGGAAACAUAAAUGUAGAACAAAUCAGUAAUUUCAUGUAUAGAUUGCUGCUCGGAGAUACAUAACAUUUUUAAAUAUGUACAUUUGCAUGAUUAUUUUUUUCUACCUUCCCAUAUUGGGGGCUUAUUUGGGGGUGGGGGGUGGGAGGGUUGAAUAGUUUCAGCCACUGCACAGUAUCUAAUCUCUAGAGAAUUUCCUCUCAACAUUUAAAAUACUUGAUUAAAAAUGACCAAAUUCCAUGCUUAGAAUAUUUUUUUUUGUAAGGAUCCUCACGGCAUUAUUAUUAAAACAGCUUCUUAAAAAUGUAAUCAAAACGCAGAAUAUGUAUAAAUAUGUAGAAACGUGAACUUUAAUUCAUGAAGCAUAAAAAAAAGUGUAAUAAGGCAUUAUAGAUUAAAUGAAAAUAAAAUUAUGGAUAUGCACUUGUUAUUGUUUUGUUGCAAAAAUCAUCUUAUCUAGUGCCCUUCCUGUGUAACACAUAGUAUCUCAUCUAUGCAUGAUAGUAUAUUUCUCAUAAUGCUGUGACAUUUUCUAUCCUUAUUUUUGUAAUAUUGGCUUGUGUUAAAGGGAUACUAUAGUCACCAGAACAAUUACAGCUUAACCCCUUCAGGACGGGUGACGGACGAGGUCCGUCACAGAGGGGAGACCCUUAACGACGGGUGACGGACCUCGUCCGUCACGCGGUAAAAUUAACCCCGGAUCGCCGCUAUCGCGGCGAUCGCGGGGUUAAUGUUGCUCCCGGUAUGCCUCUGCAUUAGAGGCAUACCGGGAGCACCCGGUCAGUAUGCCCAGUACAUGUGCUCGCUUUGACCGCAAGUCAGAGCGAGCACAUGUGCUCUCUAUACUCACCUACCGGCUCCCUGCACUUCCGGGUUCUAUGUGAAGUGCAGGGAGCCGGAUCAGUGCUGAUCCUGCCCCCUGCUGUAAAAAAAAAUAAAGUUUAUUUAAAGUCCCCCCCCCCCCUUACCCAUUUUAAUAAAAAAUGAACCCCUUCCCUGCCAAUUGAUCACUGACUACAGUGAUCAAUUGGCAGGGAUUACAUUUUACUAUGAUCUGAUUUUUUUUUAACCCCUGAGGGUUAAUUAUUAUUUUUUUUAACCCUCAGGGGUUAAAUUAAUUAAAUUAUUUUUUAAUUAUAUAUUUAGCUAGCUGGGGUAGGUGGAAGUUAGUGGGGAAUUGGGGGAUUUGGCGUUAGGCUAACUAGGGGUUAAAAGAAACUUUAAAAAGUUAAAAAUUAAGCUUAAAAAAAUGUUUUAAUAACAUUUAAGUAAAAAAAAACAAAAAAAACCACACUUUACCUAGUCCAAAUAAAAAUUAACCCCUUCCCUGCCAGUCGAUCACUGCCUACAGCGAUCAAAUAGAGAUCACAGUAUUAUACUGUGAUCUAAUUUUUUUAACCCCUGAGGAUUAACUUUUAUUUAUUUUUUUAACCCUCAGGGGUUCAAUUUAUUUAAUUAAUUAAUUUAAAUAUUUUAUAACUAUAUAUUUUGCUAGCUGGGGUGGGUGGGAGUUAUGGGAAAAUGGGGAAUUUACUGUUAGUGCUGCGUACUGCUAGUUAGGGGUUAACGGUAAAAAAAAAAGCUUAGAAAAAUGUUAAAUCUGUAAAAAAGUUUUAAGAAAGUUUAGGAAAGUUUAAAAAAAAUUAAUAAGCAAAACAAAAGUUUAAAAACUAGUUUUUAAAAGUAAAAAAGUUAUAAAAAGUAAAAAAAUACAUUUUAAAAACGCUCAUUACCACUACACCUGGAACAAACUAGAGAAAAAAUUAUCCCACGCCAAGGUUCAAAAUAUGCCUUUUGAAUUACCCCAGGGUGUAUUCUUUAAUAAAUAGUAUGUGUUUGUGGGGAAGUUUCAAUAACCAACCGUCUAAACUACUCCAAAUUGGAACAUGGACACAGCGUAAAACUUCAAAGUUAGAAAAAACUGAAUGGCUGCGUCUCAAAUGCGCCCCUUCAACAUCCACAUAUACCUGGCAAAGGUACAUACGGGGGUAUUGCUGUACUCAGCCGACAUAGCUGAGCAACAUAUGAAGUAUUAUACAGUCAUAGCACACAUAAGGUUUGUAAAAUAUGCUGCGCAAACUCACUUUGUAUGUCAAAAAGGCAGAAAAAAUGCUUAUUACCACUACACUUGGUACAAGCUAGCGGAAAAAUGAUCCCACGCUAACGUUCAAAAUAUGCCUUUUGAAAUACUCUGGGAUGUCUUCUUUAAGAAAUGGUAUGGCUUUAUGGGGAAUUUGGAUUAUAUAGCCUGGUAAAAUACUCUAAAAUGGGACAUAGGCACAGCAUAAAAAUUCAAAGUUUGAAAAAAACUGGAAUGGCUGUGUCCCAAAUGUGCCCCUCCGAUGUCCACACAUACCUGGCAAAGGUACAUACGGGGGUAUUGCUGUACUCAGCCGACAUAGCUGAGCAACAUAUGAAGUAUUAUACAGUCAUAGCACACAUAAGGUUUGCAAAAUAUACUAUGCAAACUCACUUUGUAUGUCAAAAAGGCAGAAAAAACGCUUAUUACCACUAAAUCUGGUACAAGCUAGCGGAAAAAUGAUCCCACGCUAAGGUUCAAACUAUACCUUUUGAAACACCCUGGGGUGUCUACUUUAAGAAAUGGUAGGCCUUUGUGGGGUAGUUUGAAUUUAAAACCUGCGAAGAUGCUUGGAAAUUGCACAUAGGCCCAGCGUCAAAAUUCAAAGUUUGGUAAAAACGGAUAUGGCUUGGUCUCCUAUAUGGCACUGUAGCUUCACAAAAUAGUGCCAAAGACAUUCAUUGGGGGUGUAUUUUUACUCAAAAGACUUAGCUGAGCAUAAUUUGGGAGGUUUGAACUUAGUGGCACAUAUGAAAUAUACAAAACGCCCAGCAAAAAUGCAAUCCGUAUGUAAAAAAUGCACAAAAUUAUUUUUUACCACAUACUUUGGCAUAUAUUGGUGAAAAAAUGGGGGCAUGUUAAGGCACAAUAUGCACCUUAUAAGAUACCCUGGAGUGUCUACUUUUACAAAUGGUAGGCCUUUGUGGGGGGUUUUUUGAACAGUCAAACUGUUAUAAUACCCCAAAUGGAAGCUAAGGCUCAUUAAAUCCAUCUCUCAAAAUUCUACUGUGAAUACUGUAAAGGACAGGUCUCCUAUAUGGCACUGUAGCUUCACGAAAUAGUGCCAAAGACAUUCAUUGUGGGUGUCAUUUUACUCAGAAGACUUAGCUGAGCAUAAUUUUGGGGGUUUGAACUUAGUGGCACAUAUGAAAUAUACAAAACGCCCAGCAAAAAUGCAAUCCGUAUGUAAAAAAUGCACAAAAUUAUUUUUUACCACAUACUUUGGCAUAUAUUGGUGAAAAAAUGGGGGCAUGCUAAGGCACAAUAUGCACCUUAUAAGAUACCCUGGAGUGUCUACUUUUACAAAUGGUAGGCCUUUGUGGGGUUUUUUUGAACAGUCAAACUGUUAUAAUACCCCAAAUGGAAGCUAAGGCUCAUUAAAUCCAUCUCUCAAAAUUCUACUGUGAAUACUGAAAAGGACAGGUAUCCUGUAUGGCACUGUAACUUCACGAAAUAGUGCAAAAGACAUACAAUGGGGGUGUCAUUUUACUCAGCAGAUGUAACUGAACACAAAAUAAAACUUUGUACAGGAAUAGCACACACCAACUUUACAAAAUAUACACGAGAAUUUCUCUGUUAUAAGUUUGUGUGCCAAAAACCAAAAAGAACACAAUUUUACUCCAAUAUUUAGCAGAUUGGCGGUGAAAUGGCUACGUAGAAAGUGUCAAAACAACCUUAGGUAAAUAGCCCGUGAUGUCUACUUUAUAUAAAUAUAUACUUUUGUGUGGCAAUUUUGUUUUCUUUUAUGGCUAUUAAGCUUACAAGACAAACAUACCAAAUUCUAAAAUCGCUCCACAUUAAAAGUUUAUUUUACUCCUUGUGCUUUGUGACCUGUAACUACCAAAAAAAAACUUAAAAUCCCAGACACAUUAUAUAUUCUGUAAAUCAGAACAAAUAAAUAAAUUUAUUUUUAAUUACUUUCCUUAACCUGCACUAAUUAUGCACACAUUAUUAUUGCAAAAACUGUAAAAAAAAACAAUAUUUUUCAUUUUUUUUGCAUUUUUCUGUAUUUUUUUAUAAUAAGUAAGCAUUUAUAUAUAUAUAUGUUAUAUCAAAUUAAAGCCCUUUCUGUCCUUUUAAAAACAGUAUAUAAUAUGUGUCGGUGCAAUAAAUGAGAGAGAUGCAAAUUGCAGUUGAACGCAAACAGCAAGAAAAUGCAAAAAUUGCUUGUGUCAUUAAGCGUAAGUCAAGCUUCUGAAGCUGUGUCCUUAAGGGGUUAAUGUAGUUGUUCUGGUGAGUAUAAUCAUUGCCUUCAGGCAUUUUCAUGUAAACACUGCCCUUUCAGAGAAAAGGUUGUGUUUACAUUGCCCCUAGGGACACAUCCAAGUGGCCACUCCUCAGAUGGUCACUGGAGGGGCUUCCUGGAUCAGGGCUGCACAGUAAGCAGCACUGCUGUUCAACGUCCCCACGCUCUUCAUGGAGACGCAGGAUUCAAUGAUUCAAUGCAUCUCUAUGAGGAGGUGCUGAUUGGCCAAAACAGCAUUUGGCCCCGCCCCCUUGCUGAUUUUAGCAAAUCCAAUGCUUUUCCCAUGGGAAACCAUUGGAUUGGCUAAAAAUCUGCAAUUUGAUGAUGUAGCCAAGGGGUGGGCCAAUGCCGGCGGACAUGUGGAGAGCUGAAAAUAAGGUGAGUUUUAACCCAUUCUGAGGGAGCUAAAGGGGGAAGGGUGCAAGCCACCUAAAUGGUGGGUUUUCACUAUAGGGUUAAGAAUACAUUUUUGUGUUCCUGACCCUAUAGUCAUCCUUUAAUGUUAUAUUUGUUUGGUGAUAUCAUUUUUUUUUUUCUUACCAAUGCAGUAUUAAAAAAAAAAAAAAAAAGAGCACAAAAUAAUAUAGUUUAUAAACACUUGGCAAAUUGAAACGCUCACAGACAGACAUUCACUGAAGUGUGAAAUGGCAGGAGUCCAACGUGAAUUUGUAUUAUGAAAUUAUCUUCUAGGUUUUUUAGUGAACCUACUUUGGCUUCAAAUCUGAAAUCCAUUUUGAAAAAUGCCCGACAGAGUUAUUCACCAGUGAGACCAGUGAGAUUUGUUAUGAAUUCAAAGUGAAUUUACAAUUAAUUCAAAAUUGAAGGCCAAAGACUUCAAGCCUGGAAGCAUGGCUAACUUGGAGAAUUGUUCAAGUUUGGCUACUUUUGGAUAAAUAAAAGUAACUAAAAUAAUACUUACAGGUAUAGAGCAGAAACACUGCUCUAUUAGCAAGGCGUUGGUGGCAUGAUCCCCACCUGGGAUUUCUUUAAGUGCAGGAACAACAGUAAAAAGCCAGGAAAGUAAAAAUGGUAAAAGUGCAUAAAAAUACAAUAAAAAGAGAAUUGGCACAGUAAGUAAGUUACUUAAAUGUGAGUUCUUUACCUUCUCAUAUUAUUUUACCCUCUGGAUUUUAGACGUAUUGCACUACUGGCUGCCCCUGUCUCCUUUUUUUUUCAUAUAUGCGAAUACCCUGAGACACUAGGACGCACCCACUUCUACUGAAAAGUCUACCCACCUAUACUCCAUCAAGCACUGUUGCUCUAGUGAGAUUCUUUUGGACUAUUUUACGUUAUUUUAUUUAUUUAUUUAUUAUUUUUCGCUGGCACAGCCCUACCGCAUUUCGCUGAGUAAGUUGAUAGCAGCCAUACUAGGGGACAAAUGCACUUAAAGGGCCACGUGAAAUUCACAGAUAUCAUAUCCCAGGAAUUAUCCUAAUGGGCGAGUAUUGGGCCAAGCACACACCAACAUAGUGGUGAGCUAGCAAAGGCCAUGGAGAAUCCCUGCCUAUGGCCUCACUCUUGUGGUACUCUGUCAACUGACAUACAAAUGUUCCAUGGCAAAAGUAAGAUAAUGCAACCCACACCAGUAUAUGCUAGUGGCCAGGGGAAAGUGCCACCAGCUGUCUUGCAAGCCCUCCCCUGCUUACUAUUAGAGUAUUGACAGAUUUUACAGUUUUACUUUAGUAGACACAUACAUUAUGGGCAGUGGAGGAGGUAUAGGAAGUGCACUCAGACAUUGACGAGAUACAUUUUAGAAUCAUAUUCUAUGCAGUGACCUUCAAUGUUUAGUGUGCUUGAAGUUUUAGUUUAAAAUACUGGGAUCCUUACACUGUAGAGGCCAAUAUAUUUAACCAAUAUGGCACAGAAGAAGAGGGUAUUUCACAAUUUACAGUUCCAGCCUGACAUGUAACACUUUGAUGAUAAGAAUAUUUCUGAAACAUUUUAGGAACUCGUGGGUUCUGUCAAUUACAGCUGGGUUCUGUCUGUGACAACCAUUGGUCUGCACAAUGGGCAAGUGUUUCAUGUGCAUUUCAAUUACCCAUUUAUCUCUGAUUUAUGUGCCUGAGGAUGAAUCUAUGUGGAAUUUAUGGACAGGAAACCCCAGUCAGCAAUGAAGGAAGAUUAAUCUACUUGUUACUUGCUGAAAAGGAAGCGUAAUAUAAUGUUUAACAUGAUGGUCCUAACCCCCAAACCUCUCUCUUCCUUAAUACUUUUACCCAACCAGCCAUCAUGUCUUCCUGGAGCUAAAGACUCAUGAUAUAUCUGGGAGGCUGAUGGCAAAAUCUUUAUAAAACAAUAAUACAAUUUUAAACAUCCAGACUUGUUAGCUUUUAGCUCGCAACCAGACAGGUUUCUCUUCUGUGCCUCAUGUCAUUAUUUAUCAUCAUUUAUUAUUAUAUUAUUAUCAUGUCAUGAGCUCCACUUUUCCAAAGGUUUAUUAAAUUACAUGACUGGAGCUUACUUCCAGGCAUCGCAGCUCUGGGACCGCUUUAUAACGACCAAUCCUGGGGCAAAGCUUUACAAGUGGAGCAAUCACCAUGGAAACUAAUGGAAUGUUCUUGAUGAUUGCUUCAUACAGGUUCCCAUGUGGUAGUGCAACAAAAAAGGCCAAAUAUAUUCACACUUGUCUGCAAUACUAUGCAAUGCCAACAGUAUACUAAGUGCUGCAUUGACAGGCUGGGUAGAGGAACACGCAGAGCCUCUACAAUAGUCCUACUUGGCCAUGACAAAAUCCAGGACAGGAUAAGUGACAUGGGGUGGAGGGGACAUGCAGGGAGAUUGGGGAAACACACAAUGGGGUCAGUUGGUAAUGGGAGACCAAAAUGGGGAAUGUAUGGAAAAAGAAAGACAAAAGAGGUUGGGGAGCAAAGAAAGACAUUUACAAGGUUAAUUGGGGUAUGGAGAGACACAUCCGAGGGUAAGUUGUCGGAAGGAAAGACACAGAAGCACUGGCACGAGGGGAUGCGGAAGUUUAGAUUGUUAAAUCCCAGGGUGGAAUAUCAGCAGAAGAUUUUUCCUUUGUACCAAAUAACCAAGGUAUGCCUAUGUACUAUAGUACUGUAUUACGACUGAUUUUAAUGAUGAAAUUGUAAAUCCAUCACUACCGAAUUAUAUAGAUAAAGGGCAAGCAGCAGUUUUCUGUAUGUAUUUCCUUUAAAUAUACCUAGAAAUCCAAUUAUGUAAAUUUACCAUUAUGCUAAUUUCUCAUUUGUUUGAUCAUAAAUAUUGUUGAGAAUAAGAUACGGUAGACUUAGCUUGAAAAAGACCUCUUAGCAGGUCGAAACGUCGCUGUUCUUUUUGUUUAAUUAAAACUGCCUGCGGCUUUAACACCUUGAGUGCCUGGGGAAUUUUUUUCGUUACAUACAGUAGACUUGACAAAAAUCGAUAAAUGAAAAUAGUAUAUGUUAGGAACCAGAUGAGGUUUUUUGUGACUAAAUAACCCAUGAGUCUUUUGUUUGUCUGCUUGUGUUUAAUUGAAGGUCUUGUUAAUGAAAACAUUAUUGUAUUACCCAGAAUCUGUCAAGGAGAGGGCUGAUAAACAGUAAUAUGUGUAUGUACUAUAAACAUGUGCUUAUCAAAGAGACUAUUGUACGUCUUGGUCUUACAUUAUAUCAGCAGUGUUAUGAGUUCUGUGUUUAUGAAACUAAUUAUGUUUUGCGGCAUGUUUGACACCCUCUGGCGACUGGCGGCUGUAAUGAUACAUAUUGCUGGCAUUCAUUGCCAUUUAUUGCUGUCUGUAUCGAUCACCAUUCUCUGCCCAUAUCUGUGCGAGUGCCUAUUCGACAGUAAAUGCGCGCAGUCUAGCGCCAUUGCCCUGAUAUAGGGACAUUAGGUCACUUUACCACAUUAUAAGCCAUCUUUAGUUAUUUCGAGUUCUAGCCUUGGCUUGUUAUUGGUUUUAAAGAAUUCUGUUAUUCUGACCCAGGUAGUUUAGCCAUUUUAUGUAAAUCUGGUGUCCUUCAGCUAGUCCACUCUUUAUGAUUUCUCUCUAUUUAGAGAUUCUUUCCUUCACCCUUGCCUCUAAGGAGCAGUAAAAUGUCUGCUAUCAUUUCUUCUUCCCCUUCUUUCCAUAUUGUAGAGAAUAGUCGUAUUAUACGGUCUAAAGAUGAACUGAUUCCUCGCAGGUAGCGAGAGUGGCCUGGCCUCGGGGGAAUCUUAGUAGCAGUAAAAAUGAAAGGUAAUACUUAGGUUCCCAGGAAAUAAAGUCAAGCAAUCCAUCUAGUCAAAAGAUAUCACAAGACAAAGACAUAAUACUUGGUCUUAUGGAAAACCCCCUACCUCGAUAAUACCCAACAAAAGGUACCACCAUCAAGUUUUGUCAAUUUUCUCAGCUGUCCAUGAAAAGCACAGUCUUGCAGGAUCCUUCAGCAAGAAAAAAGGCAGGCCUGCAGAAACAGUGUUUUGCUCUGGGCAAUGUUUUUUAGGGAAACCUUGGAUUCUAGCAUUCAUAUGCAUGUUAUUCUGACACAUACCCAGGGCCGGACUGGAGACAAAAUUCGGCUCGGGUAUUUUUUAAUCACAACGACCCACUGAGAAGGGAGGGGGGACAUGGGGGGCGUUUUGUCAUCACAAAUGACAAGCACGCACCCUGUCAAAGUGAGCAUGUUGGUUCAAUGCUCUUCCAGGGCAGAAAUUGCGCAGAGCUCUGCUGAAGAGCUCUAGCAUGAGAAAAGGGUCCUGUAUUUGUUCUGCACAGCGCAAGCAAAUUUAAUAACAUGCUUAUGCUGUAUGUGCUUGUAACUUGUCUCUGGUGUCUCUAUAAAUGGGAUACCAGGAGUCAAAAGAGCCUGCUUGUGCGAUUGCGUGUGUGUAGAGUGAGCUGAUUAUGGUGUGGUAAUGUGUAAAUGGGUUGGUUUGUAAUGUAAUGGGUUGUAAUGGGUUGUAAUGUAAUGUAAUGUGUGUGAGGGCUCUGUGUGCGUGUGAGGGUGCAUGUGAGGGAGCUGUAUGUGAGGGUGCUGUGUGUGUGUGUGUUUGAGGGUGCUGUGUGUGUAUAUAUUUAGAGGGAUCGUGUGUUGGGGGGAAGGCAGAUAAAAAAAAAGCAAGCAUUGUAUACCCCCUCCCUUAUUACCUUUAGCCUGGCAGGGGGGAUCGUGCUGUCAUCCUUGAUGGUCCUAGUGGUGAGUGAACUCUAGCCUGCAGGCAGUGGCGUACACACAAUUCAUGGGGCCCCGGUGCGAAAUUGCUCCGUGGGCCCCCCCACCUCUCUCCCCUUCCCUCCCCUCUCUCGAUCCGUGGGUCCCCCCGACACAUACACACAAACACAUACACACAGACAAACACCCACCGACAGACACAUACAUACAAACAUACAUACAGACACACACAUACAUACAGACACACACACACACACAGACACACAUACUUAGACACAGACACAUACAGAGACACAGACACACACACAUACAGAGACACACAUACAGAGACAUACACACAAAAUACAGAGAUGCACACAUACAGAGACAGACACACACACAGAGAUACAGACACACACAGAGACACACACACACACACACACAUACAGAGACACACACACAUAAAGAGACAGACACACACACACACAUACAGAGACACAGACACACACAUAUACAUACAGAGACACACACACAUACACAAAAUGUUUCUUGUUUCCUACCUUUUGUGACUUUCCCUGGGGUCCAGUGGGGGCUCAGCCUGAUGGGAAUCAGAGUUCCCACUCUGACUCCCUCCUCCUUCCUGCUUCCUCCCGCGCAGGCUCUGAUAGCUGGGAGGACUGAUCGGGGAGUCACUUCCUCUCAGCUCUGUGUGAUUUUAUCACAGGGGGCCCGGUCAUGCUGGUAAAACACCCAGCGCAGACCGGGCCCCCUGACAAUCCAUAUCCAUCGGGUGGCCCUGACAGCAUGGGCCACCCGAUGGACCCCUUAACAUGCAUGGCAGAUGGUACCCGGUCACGGGGUCCGGCCCCCUGGAGUGACGUGCCCAGUCGCAGCUGCGACCCCUGCGACUACGGUAUGGAAGCCACUACCUGCAGGGCUAGAGAUCACUCUCGCGAGAUCCAGAGUGAUAAUCUCUAGGUAUUUGGUAUUUGCAGUCCCGGUGUGCCCGAUGGCCAAUCCAGGCCUGCACAUACCACAUACCUAGAGAUUGUUGCAGACCCUUUCAUGGCAAUGGUGUUCCAUGGUGUCAGUGGCCUCUUUCAGCAGGAUAAUGCACCCUGCCACACAGAUGCCUCGACGCAUCACAGCUGUUUUGGCAGCACGAGGAACAACAACACAUUAUUAGGCAGGUGGUGUUAAUGUUGUGGCUGAUCAGUGUAGGUUUGUCCAACAUAUUGGACCAUACAAAUGGCAUAUAUCGCCAGAUAAAUGACAUAACCACAGGAAUCUCGCACAGGGGGGUGUUACUACGGACUAAGCAUGUUAAGAUUUAUGUGGAUGCAGCUCGAAACAUUUGUCCUUUCAGACACACACAUUCAGGUUUGAAACUCAGAUUGGGUUAUUCACUAAAGUGAGAAUUGUUAGGAAUUCAAAGCGAAUUUCAAAAAUGCCAAACUAGUCGAACAUGAAGCACAGCAGACGUCACUUUAUUCCAAUUUGGCUACUUUGGCUUUGAAUUCACUUUGAAUUCCUGCAUAGCCCUGUUUGCUGAGCCUUGUAAAGAACUCCAUAUUACUAGGCAAGGAGCGUCCAUUGUUGUACUAGUGUAAUUACAAUGUCAUCAGCAAAUAAAUCCAAUUUAAAGAUUGUUUACUGUGUAUGGACAUGUCCAAAUAGAUAGAUAGAUAGAUAUACAGACAGAUAUAUAUAUAUAUAUAUAUAUAUAUAUAUACAGACAGAGAGAUAGAUAGAUAGAUAGAUAGAUAGAUAGAUAAAUAUAUAUGCAGACAGAGAGAUAGAUAGAUAGAUAUACAGACAGAGAGAUAGAUAGAUAGAUAGAGUGAUAGAUAGAUAGAGAUAGAUAGAUAGAUAGAUAGAGAGAUAGAUAGAGAGAUAGAUAUACAGAUAGAUAGAUAGAUAGAUAUACAGUUGCAAGAAAAAGUAUGUGAACCCUUUGGAAUGAUAUGGAUUUCUGCACAAAUUGGUAAUAAAAUGUGAUCUGAUCAUCAUCUAAGUCACAACAAUAGACAAUCACAGUCUGCUUAAACUAAUAACACACAAAGAAUGAAAUGUUGCCAUGUUUUUAUUGAACACACCAUGUAAACAUUCACAGUGCAGGUGGAAAAAGUAUGUGAACUCCUAGAUUAAUGACAUCUCAAAGAGCUAAUUGGAGUGAGAUGUCAGCCAACUGGAGUCCAAUCAAUGAGAUGAGAUUGGAGGUGUUAUAAAAGUGUUAUAAAAGUAUAUUCAAAAGCCUUGCUGCUCAUCAGUCCACGGUAAGACAAAUUGUCUAUAAAUGGAGAAAGUUCAGCACUGCUGCUACUCUCCCUAGGGGUGGCCGUCCUGUAAAGAUGACUGCAAGAGAACAGCGCAGACUGCUCAAUGAGGUGAAGAAGUGUCAGCUAAAGACUUACAAAAGUCACUGGCAAAUGCUAACAUCCCUGUUAGCGAAUCUACAAUAUGUAAAACGCUAAACAAGAAUGGAUUUCAUGGGAGGAUACCACAGAGGAAGCCACUGCUGUCCAAACAAAACAUUGCUGCACGUUUACAGUUUGCACAAGAGCACCUGGAUAUUCCACAGCAGUACUGGCAAAAUAUUCUGUGGACAGAUGAAACCAAAGUUGAGUUGUUUGGAAGAAACACACAACACUAUGUGUGGCGAAAAAAAGGCACAGCACACCAACAUCAAAACCUCAUCCCAACUGUGAAGUAUGGUGGUGGGGGCAUCAAGGUUUGGGGCUGCUUUGCUGCGUCAGUGCCUGGACAAAUUGCGAUCAUCGAAGGAAAAAUGAAUUCCCAAGUUUAUCAAGACAUUUUGCAGGAGAACUUAAGGCCAUCUGUCUAACAAAAGAGAUGGCACAGUUAUUGACAGACUCAGAGUCAGGGAGAUUGACUGGCUAGCAGAAGAGAUGGCACAGUUAUUGACAGACGUAGAAAUCAGGGAGAUUGGCCGGCUGAUAGAAGAGAUGGCACAGUUAUUGACAGACACUGAAUCAGGGAGAUUGGCUAGCUAACAGAAGAGAUGGCACCGUUAUGGACAGACACAGAGUCAGGGAGAUUGGUUGGCUAACAGAAGAGAUGGCACGGUUAUUGACAGACACAGUGUCAGGGAGAUUGGCCGGUUAACAGAAGAGAUGGCACAGUUAUUAACAGACGUAGAGUCAGGGAGAUUGGCCGGCUAACAGAAGAGAUGGCACAAUUAUUGACAGACACAGUGUCAGGGAGAUUGGCCGCCUAGCAGGAGAGAUGGUACAGUUAUUGACAGACACAGAAUCAGGGAAAAUGGCCAGCUUGCAGAAGAGCUGGCACAGUUAUUGACAGACACAGAAUCAGGGAGAUUGGCCGACUAACAGAAGAGAUGGCACAGUUAUUGACAGGCACAGAGUCAGGGAGAUUGACCAGCUAGCAGAAAAGAUGGCAAGGUUACUGGCAGACAUAGAGUCAGGGAGAUUGACCGGCUAGCAGAAGCGAUGGCACAGUUAUUGACAGACAUAGAGCCAGGGAGAUUGGCUGGCUAGGAGAAGAGAUGGCACAGUUUUGGACAGACAGAGUCAGGGAGAUUGGCCGGCUAGCAGGAGUGAUGGCACAGUUAAUGGCAAACACACAGGGGUGGCUAAUAGGACUUGGAGCCUGACUAAGAGAAGAGGUGCCACAGUUACUAGUAGGCACAGGGGGACCGGGGAGAUGCACAAGGCAGCUGCUGAACCAUGUGGGAAUUGACACAUUGUAUAAUGCACAGAAAGAGAAGAAGGAUUUAAGAAAGAAGGAGGAGCAGAAGUUAAAAAACAAAAAGGAGGGGCAGAGGGGAACUGAAUGAAAGGUUAAGAAGCAGCCUCAAAGAGUAGUGAGACUGAGACAGCCUGGGUCAGACAGAGGGAGACUGAGACAACAUGGGUCAGACAGAGUGAGACUGAGACAGCCAGGGUCAAACUGAGAGAGUAAGGAUAGAGAGAGAACCAGGAUCCCAAUCAUAAACUGAAUAGCAUCACAGGAUAUUAGAUUGAUAUAGUAUUGCAGAGCAUCUCAGGGUAUUGGGUAUAAAUCAUUGCCUGGAGUGUAGAGCAUCACUAAUGACUUUUUAAUGCUGUAAAUGACUGCAGGUAAUCACCCAGACUAUCUAGAACUCAGUGCAGUACAAUACCAACAUAUGGUUCUAGGUAUAGACUGCAGAGCAUCACCCACACUGGAUAUACUGCACACUGGAUAGACUGCAUUGCCUCAGACUCAAUGGUGAAAGAUGAAUUUUAUUUGAGUGCAGAACAUCAUCUUGGACUUGGCUGCAGAGCAUCACCAGAGCACAGAGUCUGUGAGUACAGAGCAUUAUGCUGAACUGAUUGGUUAUUAGUGUGCAGAGCAUUAUCUAAAUCUCAGGGCUCAUCAUUAUCUGUGAAUGCAGAGCAUCUCAUGGGGCAUUGCACCUGACAUAACCAGGGACUGAGUGCAGAACGUUAUAAAAUGACUUUUAUUGCAGAGCACUAGCUACGACUCAGGGUGAAGAAGUUUAGGCAGAGCUUUAUCUGGGUUUAAAAGUGCAGAGCAUCACCGGGGAAUGAGUGCAGAGCAUUGUCUGUGGCAGAGUGCAGAACAUUGUCUGUGGCAGAGUGCAUAGUACUGUCUGUGGCACAGUGCAUGGCAUUGUCUGUGGCAGAGUGCAUGGCAUUGCCUGUGGCAGAGUACAUAGUAUUGCCUGUGGCAGAGUGCAGAACAUUGUCUGUGGCAGAGUGCAUAGUAUUGCCUGUGGCAGAGUGCAGAACAUUGUCUGUGGCAGAGUGCAUAGUAUUGUCUGUGGCAGAAUGCAUGGCAUUGUCUGUGGCAGAGUGCAUGGCAUUGUCUGUGGCAGAUUGCAGAGUAUUGUCUGUGGCAGAGCGCAUGGCAUUGUCUGUGGCAGAGUGCAUAGUAUUGCAUGUGGCAGAGUGCAGAGCAUUGUCUGUGGCAGAGUGCAUAGUAUUGCAUGUGGCAGAGUGCAGAACAUUGUCUGUGGCAGAGUGCAUGGCAUUGUCUGUGGCAGAGUGCAGAACAUUGUCUGUGGCAGAGUGCAUGGCAUUGUCUGUGGCAGAUUGCAGAGUAUUGUCUGUGGCAGAGUGCAUGGCAUUGUCUGUGGCAGAUUGCAGAGUAUUGUCUGUGGCAGAGUGCAUGACAUUGUCUGUGGCAGAUUGCAGAGUAUUGUCUGUGGCAGAGUGCAUGACAUUGUCUGUGGCAGAGUGCAUGACAUUGUCUGUGUCAGAGUGCAGAGAAUUGCCUGUGGCAGAGUGCAGAGCAUUGCCUGUGGCAGAGUGCAGAGCAUUGCCUGUGGCAGAGUGCAUAGUAUUGUCUGUGGCAGAGUGCAGAGAAUUGCCUGUGGCAGAGUGCAGAGUAUUAUCUGUGGCAGAGUGCAGAGCAUUGCCUGUGGCAGAAUGCAGAACAUUGUCUGUGGCAGAGUGCAGAGUCUUGUCUGUGGCAGAGUGCAUAGUAUUGUCUGUGGCAGAGUGCAGAGCAUUAUCCCUAAUAUCUCUGAUGGGGUAUCUUAGCAUCAGCUGAAGAUAUAGUUUAAACGCCUUUGACAGGGACUCAAGGUAGGCUACUUCGGACAGACUUUAAAGUUACAUUUCCAGUGACCCUCCAAACACUGCUUUAUUAUCGCAGAAAAAUAAACCAAAACACUCACAUUACAAAGAAUGGAUCUGUGUAUUGUGUGUCUCCUUUGUUUAGUAAACUGUGAGAUCUGGCGAUCAGUGCUUAUGGUUACACUGUAACUAUGAAAGCCUGGCACCAGCACGUUAAAGGGACAGUAACAAUUAAAGGCAUAUUAAAAUCCAGCAAACAUUGAGUCCGGGACAGCAGCAUUUGUAAAAUCCUAGCUUCAGUUCAGAAAAUGAAACGUACAAACCCGAAAAGCACACCGUAUCAGUAUUACUAUUUUAUAUUUCUAUUCUACUUUACAUGUGGCUUUAUCUGUAGCUUUAACCCCUUCACCAGCGACUCAAGACAAAACCAACCCCAUCUGUGCAGGCUAGACAGAGGUAAAGGGUUAAUCAGGAUAAUUUAAUCACUUGGUUCUACAAGUUUACUAUAGUAGAUCUAGUAAUUGAUUAAACAGAUGACAAUACAUUAAUUAUUCUGCAUCAAAAAAUCAAAGCAGAGCCUGUUUGGAGUAGUCAAUUUUUAAUACAGGUAUUAUGUAUGAAGAGCAAUUUCGGGAGCAAGUUAUAAAAGUGGAGCAGCUGGCUGGAACAUUCCAUCAGUUACUAUGGUGACUGCACACUUUUUAGAAUUUUGCUUUGUAAUAGAAAGAUAACAUUUCUAAUUAGUGGGGUAAUAGUUUCUUGAUCCAAGGAGACAUCUAAUUGCUAUUUUCGGGUCAAGAAGGAAAUGUUUCCUAGUUUGUUGCAAAAUUGGAAGUGCUACAGACUGGGUUUUUUGCCUUCUUUUGGAUCAACAGCAAAAACAUAUGUGAGGAAGGCUGAACUUGAUGGAGCAAGUCUCUUUUCAGCUACUGUAACUAUGUAACUAUGUAAUUGCUCUUUAUAAAUACGCCCCCAUGUGUUUAAGUGAGAUGUGUCUCCAGUGUCAUUACAGAUCCAUUCACUGUAUUUCUGCAGGGGAUUUGGGGGUUCUUGGUGAUAGGGUGGUUUGGGGGUUCAUGGUGAUAGGGUUAUAUUGGGUUAGGGUUUGGGCUGAAAGAAGAAAAUAAGUAUGCUAUGUCUUUAUGAAAAAUAUAUAUUUCACAGUGAAAAAAAAAUUCAAAGUGCAAAUGUGAAAUGCUUUAAAGGACCACUAUAGUGCCAGGAAAACAUACUCGGUUUCCUGGCACUAUAGUGCCCUGAGGGUGCCCCCACCCUCAGGGUCCCCCUCCCGCCUGGCUCUGGAAGGGGGAAAGGGGUUAAAACUUACCUUUUUCCAGCGCUGGGCAGGGAGCUCUCCUCCUCCGAUCCUCCUCCGUUCCUCCCGUCGGCUGAAUGCGACGCGUGGCAAGCCUCGCGCAUUCGUGCAUAUAGGAAAGCAUUCUCAAAGCUUUCCUAUGGACUGAGCGUGCUCUCACUGUGAAAAUCACAGUGAGAAAGUGACGCACCUAGUGGCUGUCAAUGAGACAGCCACUAGAGGAUUUGGAGCUGGAUUAACCCAUUCAUAAACAUAGCAGUUUCUCUGAAACUGCUAUGUUUAUAAAAAAAAAUGGGUUAACCCUAGCUGGACCUGGCACCCAGACCACUUCAUUAAGCUGAAGUGGUCUGGGUGCCUAGAGUAGUCCUUUAAUAAAGUGCAAAAACUAAGUAUAGUGCACUCUCAAAGUGCAAAUGUUAAAAAAAAUAUGUAAGAUUCAAUUUAACUCCAAAGCAAUUUACGCUUUGACAUAGCUUUGUCUUAAAGACACAGUGAACUUUUUUUACAGUUUGAGUGGUUAUGACUCUUAAAGGUGUGGCUUUUUUUUUUUUUUAAAUAAAUAAAUGUAAAAUUUUUUUUUUUUUUUACAUUUUAAGCACCCUAUUCAUUUGUCAUAUUUGACUCUUAGGGUUUGGGCUUACUUAUAAUUAUGGCGCACUUGACCUCAAAGAUGUUGAUUACUGUGACGAACAGAGGGUACUCAAUUAUUAAUUAUGUGUUUUUGGGGUGUACUUAAUAUGUAUGUCCUGGAUCUGAGAGUUAAUGUAAUUGUUAGUGUGUUUUACAGUAGUCUCCUCUCAGGUCCAGUGGGGGAAUGCCCCUGAAAUUUCUAUCAGGAAACCCCUUGCAUGGGGAUUCACAUAAAAGGCCGUGUGUGACUCCUAUUAAAACAGUUCCAGUUCAUCCCCAGUAGAGAUGUCGCGAACCGUCCGCGAACUUCUCGCGAACGGUUCACCACGAACCAUUCGUGGCGAACUCCGGGCAGCUGACACAUCCCGGCCAAUCUCCAGCAGACCCUCCCUCCCAGACCCUUCUACUUCCUGGACAGCAUCCAUGUUGAAGGCAGCUUCAACAUGGAUGCUGUCCAGGAGGUGGGAGGGUCUGGGAGGGAGGGUCUGCUGGAGAUUGGCCGGGAUGUGUCAGCUGACCGGAGUUCGCUGCGAACGGUUCGUGGCGAAAUGCGGCGAACUGUUCGUGAGAAGUUCGCGAACAGUUUCGCGACAUCUCUAAUCCCCAGCAUAGAGCCUCAUCUCAUGUCUGUGGGGGAAGGCUAUACAGGCUAUAUCACUAGCUCUUGUAAGAGCUAUCCUGCUAUACUCUCUGGAGUAGGAGAGAUCUACCCACUGAAAGCUGGAUCCCUGACUUGGGUCCAGGGUGGGUGGAGGACAGCGAAACCCCAGCCAAGCUGCUGCGGCUAAGGGUCUACAGUGCUGAUGGUGUCUGAUGGAGUGCUUGGAGUACUCGGUGAGCACUAGGAAGCAGCAAUUGGCGGAGGUACCCAGUCGAGGUGUUAGGCGGUCCGUCACAAUUACAUUUCCCAAUAUUCUCAGCUAAGGAAAAGCAGGCUGGUAAUGAUUGACUAGAGCUGCGGUCCGAAUCGUACAAAUGUGUCACUUUGUGGUCAUUGCUUCAGUGGCUGAGCAAUGUUUGAGGGUCACCUUCACUAAAGCUUGAAUUUAGCAAUGAAGCCAUCUAACUAAAAACCAAUAAUAUUGACCACGUGAUCCCUCACACAGAACUUUGCACAUUCCUGUUUUUCUGAAAUGCAACUGACUUCUAAUUCCCAGCAGAUUCCUAUUCCUUGCAAUGAUUAGUCAGGAUAGCAGGGGGAAUCGCUAAGAGACUGGUUCCAUGAAAAUUUAUCUGAACAGUGCAAAAUAGUCUUAAAGGGACACUAUAGAAAUCAAAACAACUUUAGCUUAAUGAAGCAGUUUUGGUGUAAAGAUCUUUCCCCUGCACUAUCACUGCUCAAUUAUUUGCCAUUUAAGAGAUAAAUCACUUUGUUUAUGCCCAAGCAGCCCUAGCCACACCUCCCCUGGCUGUGACUGACACAGCCUGCAUAAACAAAGGGUUUCAUAUUCAAUUAGAUGUUAACGUGCUUUAGAAUUUGUUAUUUCCUGCUCUGUAAAUUUAACUUUAAUCACACACAGGAGGCUCCUGUGGUGUCUAGAAGGCUAUUAACAGAGCAGGAGAUAAGACAUUCCAAAAAAACAGAAAGUGCAAUAAAGGAAGUGUAAACAUUAGAUGACUCUUUACAGGAAGUGUUUAGGAAGGCUGUGUAAGGGCUGCAUGCGCAAAAUUAUUUAACUCCUAAAUGGCAGAAAUGUGAGCAGUGAGACUGCAGGGACAUGAUCUAUACUGUACACCAAAACUACUCCAUUAAGCUAACGUUUUUUAAUGUCCCUUUAACAUUGAAGGCACUAGUUCUCUGCAUGUUUAAAGGACCACUCUAGGCACCCAGACCACUUCAGCUUAAUGAAGUGGUCUGGGUGCCAGGUCCCUCUAGGAUUAACCCUUUUUUUUAUAAACAUAGCAGUUUUAGAGAAACUGCUAUGUUUAUAAAUGGUUUAAUCCAGCCUCUAAAGUCUCUAGUGGCUGUCUCAUUGACAGCCGCUAGAGGCGUUUGCGUGCUUCUCACUGUGAAAAUCACAGUGAGAAGACGCCAGCGUCCAUAGGAAAGCAUUAUGAAUGCUUUCCUAUGAGACUGGCUGAAUGCGCGCGCAGCUCCUGCCGCGCAUGCGAAUUCAGCCAAAGAGGAGGAUCGGAGGCAGAGAGGAGGAGGAGAGCUCUCCUCCCGGCGCUGGAAUAAAGGUAAGUUUAACCCCUUUCCUCGCCCUCCAGCCCGGCGGGGUGGGGGCACCCUCAGGGCACUGUAGUGCCAGGAAAACAAGUAUGUUUUCCUGGCACUAUAGUGGUCCUUUAACUCUGAACACAGCAGCUCUCCACAGGCUCAAUACUUCACCGGCCUGUGUUAUUUGGAACUUUCCAGACAACACAAAUGGCUUCUUCCUUAAUUAAGUUGUUAUUGUGUCUCGAGGUACAGGCUCUAUGUUCAACCACUACAUUAGGACUAACCUUGAUAAGCACAGACUUGAAGUUGAAGUUAGCAGCCCUUCAUCAGCUUAACACAAAAUUCAAAGGCUCAGUUUAAGGAGCGUAAAUCUGUAAUUCUCUUUAAUUUUACUGUAAACCCUGCAGCUCUCCAGACUUCACACUAAACAUACCUUAGACAUAGUAGUAAACCCAGCAUCAAAACAUGAACUUCUCCAUGCAAUGAUCCCUGAGGUUUCCCUGCAGCUCCUCGUGGGUUAAAUGAUGAACUUAUAGGGAAAGUAUAAUGAAAUAUUUCUCCCUCUAUCUUUAUGCUUUGUACAGAAAAUAUAGUAAACAAACAAAAUAUCCUUACGAUCUAUUUUAUUACAUUUACACAGUACAUAUCCGCAGCAGGAGCCUCUCAUUUAUGGGAUAAGUAGUUUAUACACCAACCUUAAAGGACCACUAUAGUGCCAGGAAAACAUACUUGUUUUCCUGGCACUAUAGUGCUCUGAGGGUGCCCCCACCCUCAGGGUCCCCCUCCCACCAGGCUGGAUGGCGAGGAAAGGGGUUAAACUUACCUUUUUUCCAGCGCCGGGCGGGGAGCUCUCCUCCUCCUCUCCGCCUCUUCGGCUGAAUGCGCAUGCGCGGCAGGAGCUGCUCGCGCAUUCAGCCGGUCUCAUAGGAAAGCAUUCAUAAUGCUUUCCUAUGGACGCUGGCGUCUUCUCACUGUGAUUUUCACAGUGAGAAGCACGCAAACGCCUCUAACGGCUGUCAAUGAGACAGCCACUAGAGGCUUUAGAGGCUGGAUUAACCUAUUUAUAAACAUAGCAGUUUCUCUGAAACUGCUAUGUUUAUAAAAAAAAGGGUUAAUCCUAGCUGGACCUGACACCAAGACCACUUCAUUAAGCUGAAGUGGUCUGGGUGCCUAGAGUGGUCCUUUAAACCCACUACUCAGUUUAGUGGAACAGCUCUGUAAAGUGAUAGCAGUCAUAGCACCACUGUAAAUGACACAGAGACUUCUUUAAUGUUUAGGAGAGAGGGCUCAGCUCAAUCUGUGUGGGCAGUAUGUGCAGAUAGCACACACGAUAUGAACAAAACUGAUAACAGACUCUGGCUAUUUAAAUGACAGCUCUGGUGUGCCAGCUUACAGCUGCAGAGCUUUUACACAAUGUUAAAGUUAUAAACCACUCUCAGAGCUGAGAGUCGGUGCAAAAUAGUUAUGGUGCUUAAACUGAAGUUACGAUCACUCUGCUGGAAUAGGUACGUUCUGUUCUCGAGUUAAUAAAGUAAAAUAAGCGUAACUGAGUACACCAGCCUUUUAUAAUUCUGACAGUUAUCUUCUUGUUAAUACAUUUGGUGUCCCUGGUCACUCCUAUUCACAGAUUUAUUCAGUUUACAAUUAUAAUUUCAUAGAUACAGAUUUUUAUGUUUGAGAAUAUGUAUUUAAUAGACACAAUAAACAUUAAUAUAUUUUAUUUGUUUAUUUUAAGAUUACAAAGGAUUUAGUGAAUUCACAAAUAAUUGUAAGUAAUUCUAAAUAAUAAUAAUUAAUAAGAGGGGGAAUUGGGUAAAUUAUUGGCGUAUGAGUCACGGGGAUCCCAUUCUGUUAUGGGGGAUCAUCAUAUCUGCCCUUUUUUCGAACUAUGUCACAACAUUUAGGAAAACUAAUCAGUUACUAAUGCUUGCGCUUAUCACCCCCUAUCCCACAGAACCAAGGAUAGCGAGGAGAGGCCUGGGGGUUACGGAGUAGACAGUGCAAGUUCAGGAUGUGGUCUAGGGGAUCAAGGUGUGUUGCACAGGUUUAAUCCAAGUGUAGUUCAGAAAUUUGUCCAUUGCCAAAAUCCAAGCGGCAUAAGUUCAUGAGCGACACAGCAAGCCAAGGGUCAGAGUCCAGGUUAAUGUAAGUCCAUAAACACAAGCCAGGGACAAUCCAAAGGCAGGGUCAAAGAGUAAUCUAAAAUUAAAGUUCAAUAAGUCAUGGGGCCUUUGCACCAGCUCAUCAUGGGUAUUAUCCACUGUCUAGCAAGAGAGUUACAUUUGGAAAUUCUCCCCUUUUUCUUUCUCUGGAAUGAUCAGCAGUUUGAGAUUAUGGGAUUUUAUAUAGAGCACACUAAUGCCACCACAGUUUGCUUGUGUCCUACGUUUACCAGCGGAUGAGGAACACUGAUGGCCACAGUCCCCUAAACAUAAGGUAGCAUCUUUCCUUCUUCCCCGGAUGUUCUGUGUAAUAGGUCAUUCAUAGAAUAGAGAAAUAAAAUUGUUGCUAAACGUGCAGCUGGUGAGAACAGGAAAUAAAAUUGCAGAAUCCAUUGUGACAUAGAUCCUGGUUAUGACCCCAAAGUGCGAAGAGAAAUAGCAAAUCACAUUGUUACUUUCUGUGUUUAGGAGAAUAGCUGAUCCUUCCAGGUACCAGCAAGCAAAGGGUUCACAUACGCUAACCCUUAGCAGACUUUAAGGAAUUUACUUAAUACCGCUAGCUCUCACAAGUAUGGCAGACGGAGCAUGAAACCGUUCCACUAAGAGGUCAAUGACUUAAUAUAAAUAUGUUUUCUCUAUAAAACAUACUGGAGUCAGUUCCUUAUUCACAUCCAAGAAAUAAGGAACCAAAUGAUCAGCGAUAAAGUUCAAUUUCAAGUCUUUUUGAAGACGUCUUUUCUUUGCUGACACACACACACACACACACGUGCAGCGUUUUUUUGCUUGAAAUCCUGCACAAAGAAAUAUAUUUGCACUUUCGUACCGGGGGCUAACUACAGCCCUGGCACACGGGAGUCCCCGGGACCUGUAAUUUUGGUAGCCAAGAACUCUGUCCAGACUGCCAAAUAUAAAUUCUGUGCGCAAAAUUAUGUCCAUCAUCAAUACACACUGUAUGCUGGCAACGGAUGUGAUUAGCUUCUUAAGCGUUUGUCUCCUCUCCCCUAAAGUAAAGCCCUCCCCACCUUUCCAUUACCACCCGCUCGAUCCCUUCUCCUCCUCCCUCCCCUUAACCCAUGCGCUACGAGCUAGAUAAAACCAAUCAAUGGCUUGUCUGUGAGAAGCCUUUGAUAAGUUCCUGCAAUGGCUGCCAUUAUAUCAGAUGGGAAGUGGAAAGCCGCACCGAGAGCCUCGUCCAGUGUUGGAUUUCAGGUGAGUUUAGCUUUUUUUGGGGGGCAUUCAUGGGGGGACCUAAAGAAUAAUACCCAAUAGGACAUUAAUCAUAAAAAAAUAAAACUGUCAUAAAGGGUAUGCAAUAACCCAUUAACACUGUCUCAGAUAUCUACUACAAGUUUAUUAACAUUUAUGAAGUGGGCACGUAUGUCAGUAACGAUGUGAUUAUAUUCUUGCCAGUGUACAGGCUGUUUUAUAUGAUUUCCUGUAAUUUCAAAUAUAUAAAAACCCAUUCUCUUUUAAUGGCAUGUGUUAUGAAAAUAGCAAGCCAUUCUCAAGGAGCCGAACUGUACUUGAAGGAAUUCAUUGUUCUCACCACUCCCCAAAGCCUGCAGGGUGUGAGUUUAAUUUGGGAGGUGCUGUGUUUCCUCAUUUGUCUAUUGUUUAACAUUUUUUAGGUUGUCUUCUUCAUUAAUAUAUAACAACAAAUAAUUGCUUAAUUGUUUGCAAAAACAAUUGGGGCAUUGAAGGCAUUCAAUAAUACGAACACGGCAAUUCCAAAUCAAAGGCUCCUUUAUUUUAGCCGUUAAUGCCUUGUAAUCUGAAUCCAACUCUGACACAAUACAUGUACCCAAAAACUAGGAAAUAGAUGGCUAGCGGGUCUGUUACUCCAUUGGUCACUUGCCUAUAGGUGUUAUGGACAAUUUACUCACAAGACAUUCUCCUUCUGAUUAAAAACUGCCGAAGGCGCACUGAAAUCAGGGACGGAUUUACACGUCAGGAACCUGUAGGCACGGAAUUCUAAGGCAAUCCCAGCUCCCCCCACCCCAAAAAAGGCAUAUUAUUAAUGAAUAUAUUAACUGGACAUUGAAGGUAACUGUAAGUACAGUUAGAGUAUGCAGCUGUGUAAAUGCAUGCGGGGUUAAAAAUAAUGUUAGAAGUGGUCAGGAUUAAAGGGAAGGGGUUAAGUUUAGAGAGGUCUUAAAGGUACAGGCACCACAACAAAUGAAUCAAAAUUAAGUGGUUAUGGUACCAGGAGGUCCCCAGGUGCUUUUUUACCUGAUGGGCCUUAAACCGGCCUCCAAAAAGUUGUUCUAGUGCCCAGAGUGUUCCUUUAUGGUCAGAGUUACAUUACAAAGGGUGUAAGAGGAUUAAAGGUUAUAUUUAGUAUUGAGGUAGAUGAUGUGUUUCAAUUAUAAUUGUUUCAGGUUCAGGCUUUGAGUUCUUAAAUCUGGGACUAAGGAAAGAGUUUUUAUAAACUUUAGGAAAAGAUAUGUGGAGUUUGAAGGGUUAUGUGUAAAGUGCCUCCCCCCCCCUGCUCUAUGAUCAGUUGUAGUUAAUUGUAGUAUUAACCCAUGUUAUUUUGCUCACAGGCUUCUUCAUGUUGAUGCUAGGAUAUUGCCCAUUUAUUUAAUCCUCGUUGACAUGGAGUCUCCGACACCAAUGGAGAGAUUGCUGGAAAAUUUGAACAGUGUUUUGCAGGCAUUAAACAAGACUCUAAACAGCCAACCCUGCCAGUCUGACAAACACGUCAACAAAACCAUCAACAACACAAAAAAUGAUAAUUCCUACAUAUUCAUUCUUUUUGUCAUGUUCCUCUUUGCUGUGACUGUCGGCAGCUUAAUACUUGGGUACACGCGGUCAAAGAAAGUGGACAAAAGGAGUGACCCCUAUCACGUGUACAUUAAAAACAACACAAAACUAUCUGUUAUUUGAAAAAGGCAAUGUGUACAAAACAAGCCUUUGGGACCAACUGAGCACCAAGCUGGAACGUACAGGUUUGGUGCCAUUUGAAUGGGCAAAUCCCUUCAUUGUCUCCUGUCUUAUUUACUUACUGAGACAAUUCUCCUCUGCUGCUGAACAUGCUGGGAACCGAAGCCUGAAAUAGCUGCAGUGAGUGCCAGGUUGUACUCAUCACCCUUGUGCUCCACCUUCAUGGUAGGGCAGUACUGGUUUUAUUGGACCAUACCAUUUUCUGUGGAUUAUUUAACUAAAGAUAUUUGUAUUGUACAUCUGUGAAAUUAUACAGAAAGGGAGCACGUCAAGAAACGGUUUUACAUUUAAUAUUUUAAACAGGACCAGACUCUUAUAAACUCUCCUAUUACAUCACAAAUUAUGAGAGACACCUAAAAUGGGUCUACCUUCCCUAAAAUAUGUGACUAACUAGGUACGCUGUAUACUUUUUUACUGAUUGUAAUAAUAAGUAAGUACUGUUUAAAAUUAUUACUAACGUAAGAAUGAAGCAUUCCCUUCCUUUCGUCCUUUAUGUAUAUGGUUUUAUUUUCUAUUAAUUUUUAACUCCUGGGUUGUAAAUAAUUACUAAUUUUUUUUAAAGCACCCUAAAAGGGGAAUGUAAAAGAAAUGCUGAAUAAAUACAUUGUGUUAGAUGUUAUAACCAGUAAAUGUAUAGAGUACAUGUUAUUAGUGACUUGAAUUUUACAUACGGGUGUCUGUUGAGAAAGCACAACACAAUGCACUCCAGGCAUCCGAUGAUGUUUUCUUGGUAUUGGGAACGUACAGAUUCUUGGGCACACACCGAUUGCUUGUGUCAAAAUUGUAUUUUUUUUUUUCCUCAAUGCCAAAUACAUUUAUACACUGUCUAUAACAUUCGAUUUAUACAUUUGCUGGCUUAUGUGAAAUAUUGUUUAUAAUUUGCCUCUUUGUCAAAAAAUAACAAUAAGGAUAGUUAGACACACAUAGAGUAAGAUCCUAAAUGAGUUGAAACAUUAGAAUAAAAGCUUCUGUUUGCAUAACCUGUGUUGUGUCUGUGUUGUUGUCAUUGCUGAAUCUUUCCAAAACAGAACUUCUUGUCUUUCCUCCUCCUAAUAUUAAUCCUCCUCUCUCACUCUCCCUUCAGAUUGGUGGUACCCAUAUCAGUCCAUCCUUACAAGCACGUUGUCUUGGUGUUACUUUUGAUUCUGGCCUCACCUUUGAGCCUCACAUCCGGUCUGUUGUCAAAUCAUGCCAAUUCCACCUUAAAAACAUCGCCCGAAUCCGCCCCUUUCUUACACAAGAUGCUACUAAAGAGCUUGUCCAUGCUCUAGUAAUUUCUCGCAUGGACUAUUGUAACUCUCUUCUAAUUGGUCUUCCCAAUAGCCGUAUUGCCC